CGGGUUGUGGCUCAGCUUGGUAGAGCGCUGCGUUCGGGACGCAGAGGCCGGGAGUUCAAAUCUCCCCAACCCGACCA
RNAcentral lists this transfer RNA (77 nucleotides) under Microthrixaceae bacterium. RNAcentral's name for it is "tRNA-Pro". It matches the Rfam family "tRNA". From Rfam's summary of the family: Transfer RNA (tRNA) molecules are approximately 80 nucleotides in length. Their secondary structure includes four short double-helical elements and three loops (D, anti-codon, and T loops). RNAcentral also lists the same sequence under 1 other name. The record is from RNAcentral. Lineage: Bacteria; Bacillati; Actinomycetota; Acidimicrobiia; Acidimicrobiales; Microthrixaceae.